Non-coding RNA from Phrynosoma platyrhinos (Desert horned lizard), 72 nucleotides. NCBI's taxonomy places the organism in Eukaryota, Metazoa, Chordata, Lepidosauria, Squamata, Phrynosomatidae. The record is from the annotation of a GenBank genome assembly.
GCCAGAGUGGUGCAGUGGUUUGAGUUUUGGACUGUUACUCUGAAGACCAGGGUGUGAAUCCCAGCUCAGUCA